Molecule: ribosomal RNA, 203 nt
Filed under: Clostridioides difficile
Lineage: Bacteria; Bacillati; Bacillota; Clostridia; Peptostreptococcales; Peptostreptococcaceae
Description: partial 16S ribosomal RNA
Rfam family: Bacterial small subunit ribosomal RNA
Source: RNAcentral
CAAGUAGCGGAGCAUGUGGUUUAAUUCGAAGCAACGCGAAGAACCUUACCUAAGCUUGACAUCCCAAUGACAUCUCCUUAAUCGGAGAGUUCCCUUCGGGGACGUUGGUGACAGGUGGUGCAUGGUUGUCGUCAGCUCGUGUCGUGAGAUGUUGGGUUAAGUCCCGCAACGAGCGCAACCCUUGUCUUUAGUUGCCAUCAUUA